This 474-nucleotide ribosomal RNA is filed under the name uncultured bacterium. Its description in RNAcentral is "bacterial SSU rRNA". It matches the Rfam family "Bacterial small subunit ribosomal RNA", at positions 28 to 515 of the family's 1533-position model. The record is from RNAcentral.
GACGAACGCUGGCGGCGUGCUUAACACAUGCAAGUCGAACGAUGAACCGGAGCUUGCUCCGGGGAUUAGUGGCGAACGGGUGAGUAACACGUGAGUAACCUGCCCUUGACUCUGGGAUAAGCGCUGGAAACGGCGUCUAAUACCGGAUAUGACAACUGACGGCAUCGUCUGGUUGUGGAAAGAAUUUCGGUCAAGGAUGGACUCGCGGCCUAUCAGCUUGUUGGUGAGGUAAUGGCUCACCAAGGCGACGACGGGUAGCCGGCCUGAGAGGGUGACCGGCCACACUGGGACUGAGACACGGCCCAGACUCCUACGGGAGGCAGCAGUGGGGAAUAUUGCACAAUGGGCGCAAGCCUGAUGCAGCAACGCCGCGUGAGGGAUGACGGCCUUCGGGUUGUAAACCUCUUUUAGUAGGGAAGAAGCGAAAGUGACGGUACCUGUAGAAAAAGCACCGGCUAACUACGUGCCAGCCGC